GCCAGGCCCUACGGGGCGCAGCAGGCGCGAAAACUUUACAAUGCGGGAAACCGUGAUAAGGGGACACCGAGUGCCAGCAUCAUAUGCUGGCUGUCCAGAUGUGUAAAAUACAUCUGUUAGCAAGGGCCGGGCAAGACCGGUGCCAGCCGCCGCGGUAACACCGGCGGCCCGAGUGGUGAUCGUGAUUAUUGGGUCUAAAGGGUCCGUAGCCGGUUUGGUCAGUCCUCCGGGAAAUCUGAUAGCUCAACUAUUAGGCUUUCGGGGGAUACUGCCAGACUUGGAACCGGGAGAGGUAAGAGGUACUACAGGGGUAGGAGUGAAAUCUUGUAAUCCCUGUGGGACCACCUGUGGCGAAGGCGUCUUACCAGAACGGGUUCGACGGUGAGGGACGAAAGCUGGGGGCACGAACCGGAUUAGAUACCCGGGUAGUCCCAGCCGUAAACGAUGCUCGCUAGGUGUCAGACAUGGCGCGACCGUGUCUGGUGCCGCAGGGAAGCCGUGAAGCGAGCCACCUGGGAAGUACGGCCGCAAGGCUGAAACUUAAAGGAAUUGGCGGGGGAGCACAACAACGGGUGGAGCCUGCGGUUUAAUUGGAUUCAACGCCGGG
RNAcentral lists this ribosomal RNA (607 nucleotides) under uncultured Methanosarcinales archaeon. Its description in RNAcentral is "bacterial SSU rRNA". It matches the Rfam family "Archaeal small subunit ribosomal RNA", at positions 315 to 922 of the family's 1478-position model. The record is from RNAcentral. Lineage: Archaea; Methanobacteriati; Methanobacteriota; Methanomicrobia; Methanosarcinales.